RNAcentral lists this ribosomal RNA (393 nucleotides) under uncultured bacterium. Its description in RNAcentral is "bacterial SSU rRNA". It matches the Rfam family "Bacterial small subunit ribosomal RNA", at positions 28 to 420 of the family's 1533-position model. The record is from RNAcentral.
GACGAACGCUGGCGGCGUGCUUAACACAUGCAAGUCGAGCGGUAAGGCCCUUUCGGGGGUACGACGAGCGGCGAACGGGUGAGUAACACGUGGGUGACCUGCCCUUAGCUCUGGGAUAAGCCUGGGAAACUGGGUCUAAUACCGGAUAUGACUCCAUGACGCAUGUUGUGGGGUGGAAANCCUUGUGCGGCUAGGGAUGGGCCCGCGGCCUAUCAGCUUGUUGGUGGGGUGAUGGCCUACCAAGGCGACGACGGGUAGCCGGCCUGAGAGGGCGACCGGCCACACUGGGACUGAGACACGGCCCAGACUCCUACGGGAGGCAGCAGUGGGGAAGUCUUGCGCAAUGGGCGAAAGCCUGACGCAGCGACGCCGCGUGAGGGAUGACGGCCUCGG